This 715-nucleotide long non-coding RNA is filed under the name Nicotiana benthamiana. RNAcentral describes it as "long non-coding RNA (NBEN_LNC037826)". The record is from RNAcentral. Lineage: Eukaryota; Viridiplantae; Streptophyta; Magnoliopsida; Solanales; Solanaceae.
AUCGGCCUUUUAACAACAGAUAAAACCCUAGGUAUGGGCCCUAGGAACAACCGUCAAAAUUUUGCCGGAGAUACCGUCAAGGAUGUCGGAGCAGUAACAAUAACACCCAAAACACCCGCAAAAAUGAGUAUCAAACAACCGGAUAGCAGUCAAACGAACGAUUUGACCACCUGAAACCCUAGAAGUUGAAAACUCACCGGAAAAUCUCCAAAAAUUCUACAACAAUCGAUUGAACCGUUCAAUAGAAGAGAACGGUCAUAGAUCAUGAAGAUAAAGGCUCGAAACAGGCCCAAUCGGAGUCAAAACCAUCACUGACCUUUCGAUCUCAGAAAACCCCAAAAAUUUCAUCAGAGAACAGUUCAAAUGAACUACUGAUUCACAUAAAAGUAUCAUCGGAUCAUUAUGUAGGCUCUGAUACCAUGAAAACAUGCAAGAAAUCAUAGAAAUUUAGAGAGAGAAAGUAGAGAGAAGGAGGAGAGUUUCGGAAGACUCUCGAAGAAGAGAGAAGAUAUUAUUUCAUCAAAUGACCCCUCAAGUCCGUUUAACAAACGACCCCUAUACAUAUAUACAAAAUGACCCUUUACACAUAUAGCCUAUUACAUAGAUAGCCUAUUACAGAAAUAACCCUAUUACAGAAAAUGACCUAUUUACAUACCAUAGCCUAUUAUACAAAUAGCCUAUUAGGCUCAGAUAUGACUCCCUCAUUGACUCAGAA